This 497-nucleotide ribosomal RNA is filed under the name uncultured bacterium. RNAcentral's name for it is "partial 16S ribosomal RNA". It matches the Rfam family "Bacterial small subunit ribosomal RNA", at positions 28 to 507 of the family's 1533-position model. The record is from RNAcentral.
GAUGAACGCUGGCGGCGUGCCUAAUACAUGCAAGUCGAGCGAACAGACGAGGAGCUUGCUCCUUUGACGUUAGCGGCGGACGGGUGAGUAACACGUGGGUAACCUACCUAUAAGACUGGGAUAACUUCGGGAAACCGGAGCUAAUACCGGAUAAUAUUUCGAACCGCAUGGUUCGAUAGUGAAAGAUGGCUCUGCUAUCACUUAUAGAUGGACCUGCGCCGUAUUAGCUAGUUGGUAAGGUAACGGCUUACCAAGGCAACGAUACGUAGCCGACCUGAGAGGGGGAUCGGCAACACGAGAACGGGACCGCGGACAGGCCCCCUAGGGGGGGGGAAAGAGGGAAAUCUCCCGCAAGGGGGGAAAGCCGGGGGGAGCAACGCGGCGUGUGUGAGAAAGGUCUUCGGAUCGAAAAACUUUUUUUUGAGGGAAAAAAAACGGUGUAAGUAACUGUGCACGUCUUGACGGUACCUAAUAAAAAAGCCCGGGCAAACUACGUG